RNAcentral lists this ribosomal RNA (425 nucleotides) under uncultured bacterium. RNAcentral describes it as "partial 16S ribosomal RNA". It matches the Rfam family "Bacterial small subunit ribosomal RNA", at positions 354 to 796 of the family's 1533-position model. The record is from RNAcentral.
GUUAGGAAUAUUGGACAAUGGGCGCAAGCCUGAUCCAGCCAUGCCGCGUGAGUGAUGAAGGCCUUCGGGUUGUAAAGCUCUUUAGUCCACGAAUAUAAUGACUGUAGUGGAAGAAUAAGCCCCGGCUAACUUCGUGCCAGCAGCCGCGGUAAUACGAAGGGGGCGAGCGUUAUUCGGAAUCACUGUGCGUAAAGCGUGCGUAGUCUGUUUUGUAAGUCAGAAGUGAAAGCCCAGGGCUUAACCCUGGAAUUGCUUUUGAAACUACAAGACUCGAAUUCGGGAGAGGAUAGCGGAAUUGUCAGUGUAGCAGUGAAAGGCGUAGAUAUUGACAGGAACACCAGUGGCGCAAGCGGCUAUCUGGACCGAUAUUGACGCUGAGGCACGAAAGCGUGGGGAGCAAACAGGAUUAGAUACCCGUGUAGUCC